Molecule: ribosomal RNA, 253 nt
Filed under: uncultured bacterium
Lineage: Bacteria
Description: partial 16S ribosomal RNA
Rfam family: Bacterial small subunit ribosomal RNA
Source: RNAcentral
UACGGGGGGGGUAAGUGUUGUUCGGAAUUACUGGGCGUAAAGGGCUCGUAGGCGGCCAACUAAGUCAGACGUGAAAUCCCUCAGCUUAACUGGGGAACUGCGUCUGAUACUGGAUGGCUUGGAUUCGGGAGAGGAAUGCGGAAUUCCAGGUGUAGCGGUGAAAUGCGUAGAUAUCUGGAGGAACACCGGUGGCGAAGGCGGCAUUCUGGACCGACAUUGACGCUGAGGAGCGAAAGCCAGGGGAGCAAACGGG